UCAUAAUAAAGCACAAAAAUAAUUGGUAAUGAAUCACAUAGAUAGCCAUCUAAAUUAGUUUUACUGUCGGCAACAUGCUUCUUGGAGAGCAGGGCUGCAGUUUUAAUUAGCUGAAGGCUGUCUGGUCUCUAUUGAUUGGAGAAGUGCCUCAUGGGUCUUUUUGAUAGACUGAACUGCAGUCCAUCUGGUGGUGUAAGCAGAAGCCUCAACAACCGCUUGAGAUUUUUGGAGCCUUUCUUUGCACAUCCUCCAAAUCUACAAAUUAUGGAUCUUGGUCAACUGGUCUCUCAAUGCAGUUGAACACAUUUUCUCAACGGGAAGACUUGGCACAGGAGAGCCCUCUUGUCCUGCGGGGACACACCCGGCAGGAUUCACCCUGGAUUUAUGCAUGAUAACAGGAUUUCUGCUGUUUGGAGCUCGCAGAGACUUGGCUCAUUGACAAAUCUGUGACAGACUUGGCUGAACUAGCGAACACUCAGACUGUUGGUGUGGACAGGGAGGCAAGUUGGAUGCGAGUCUUGCUGAGACUCGCAGCCCAGCUGAGGACUUCAAAACUCACUAACGGAAUGGAAUCGAUCUUGGAGAAGUUGCUAGUUUCGGUUCAAUGGAACGACCAAACUAAUUUGGAUAAUGGGGAACUGAGAUUUAUCAGAGGGACUUUAGGGAAGAUUGAAAUUUAGAAUCUACCCGACCUAAGACGUUCUGUUUCUGAAUUGGCUUUCCUUGUGUUGCCUUGGAAGGGCUGCAUAUUUCCAGUCUCCUUGAAGAUAUGUAAACAUAACGCUUCUUCCCACCUCACCACCUCCUGUUAUCCAUGCAGCUGUGGAGCUCAGCGCUCCCAAGGACAUCAUGCCUUGAUAACACCAUCUUAUCGGACUUCUGCCGGGAGGCUGAGGGAUGUGAGUCUUGCUGAGACUCACAGCCCAGCUGUUUCAUGGCCCUAUGACGUCACCACUUUCACUCAUAUCUUUGUUUUAUCUGAAUGUUGCCACGUUCCCUAAUGUGUCCGUUCCUCCUUUUUAUUUUAUUUUGUUAGAAACUGUGGAGUGCUCGCUUUAAACACAGAAAAGGAAUUAGGACAAACUUGGAAUCCAGA
This is a long non-coding RNA of Gambusia affinis (western mosquitofish), 1096 nucleotides long. RefSeq lists it as uncharacterized. The record is from RefSeq and is a predicted model, not a curated record. The transcript is spliced from 2 exons. Lineage: Eukaryota; Metazoa; Chordata; Actinopteri; Cyprinodontiformes; Poeciliidae.